UACAGAGGUCUCAAGCGUUUGUUCGGAUUCAUUGGGCGUAAAGGGUGCGUAGGUGGCGCCGUAAGUCAGGUGUGAAAUUUCGGAGCUUAACUCCGAAACUGCAUUUGAUACUGCGGUGCUUGAGGACUGGAGAGGAGACUGGAAUUCACGGUGUAGCAGUGAAAUGCGUAGAUAUCGUGAGGAAGACCAGUGGCGAAGGCGGGUCUCUGGACAGUUCCUGACACUGAGGCACGAAGGCCAGGGGAGCAAACGGG
This 254-nucleotide ribosomal RNA is filed under the name uncultured bacterium. Its description in RNAcentral is "partial 16S ribosomal RNA". It matches the Rfam family "Bacterial small subunit ribosomal RNA", at positions 524 to 776 of the family's 1533-position model. The record is from RNAcentral.